Molecule: ribosomal RNA, 462 nt
Filed under: uncultured bacterium
Lineage: Bacteria
Description: SSU rRNA
Rfam family: Bacterial small subunit ribosomal RNA
Source: RNAcentral
AGAAUCAACGCUGGCGGCGUGCCUAACACAUGCAAGUCGCACGAGAAAGGGGAGCAAUCCCUGAGUAAAGUGGCGCACGGGUGAGUAACACGUGAAUAAUCUACCUCCGAGUGGGGAAUAACUGAGAGAAAUCUUAGCUAAUACCGCAUAACACUUACGAGUCAAAGCAGCAAUGCGCUUGGAGAGGAGUUCGCGGCCGAUUAGUUAGUUGGCGGGGUAAUGGCCCACCAAGACGAUGAUCGGUAUCCGGCCUGAGAGGGCGCACGGACACACUGGAACUGAAACACGGUCCAGACUCCUACGGGAGGCAGCAGUGGGGAAUUUUGCGCAAUGGGGGAAACCCUGACGCAGCAACGCCGCGUGGAGGAUGAAGCCCCUUGGGGUCGUAAACUCCUUUCGAUCGGGAAGAUAAGUGACGGUACCGAUAUAAGAAGCCCCGGCUAACUUCGUGCCAGCAGCCGC